This 133-nucleotide ribosomal RNA is filed under the name uncultured bacterium. Its description in RNAcentral is "partial 16S ribosomal RNA". It matches the Rfam family "Bacterial small subunit ribosomal RNA", at positions 356 to 480 of the family's 1533-position model. The record is from RNAcentral.
GGGGAAUAUUGCGCAAUGGGGGAAACCCUGACGCAGCGACGCCGCGUGAGUGAUGAAGGCCCUCGGGUCGUAAAGCUCUGUCGUAAGGGAAGAACUGGUUGCAGGUUAAUACCCUGUAGCCUUGACGGUACCU